Molecule: ribosomal RNA, 441 nt
Filed under: uncultured bacterium
Lineage: Bacteria
Description: partial 16S ribosomal RNA
Rfam family: Bacterial small subunit ribosomal RNA
Source: RNAcentral
CCUACGGGGGGCAGCAGUGGGGGAUAUUGCACAAUGGGGGGAACCCUGAUGCAGCGACGCCGCGUGGAUGAAGGAGUGCUUCGGCAUGUAAAGCCCUAUCGGCAGGGAAGAAGCAAGACGGUACCUGACUAAGAAGCCCCGGCUAACUACGUGCCAGCAGCCGCGGUAAUACGUAGGGGGCGAGCGUUAUCCGGAUUCACUGGGUGUAAAGGGAGCGUAGACGGCCAUGCAAGCCAGGGGUGAAAGCCCGGGGCCCAACCCCGGGACUGCCCUUGGAACUGUGCGGCUAGAGUGCGGGAGGGGCAGGCGGAAUUCCUGGUGGAGCGGGGAAAUGCGUAGAUAUCAGGAGGAACACCGGCGGCGAAGGCGGCCUGCUGGACCGCGACUGACGUUGAGGCUCGAAAGCGUGGGGAGCGAACAGGAUUAGAUACCCCAGUAGUC